This 461-nucleotide ribosomal RNA is filed under the name uncultured bacterium. RNAcentral's name for it is "bacterial SSU rRNA". It matches the Rfam family "Bacterial small subunit ribosomal RNA", at positions 30 to 480 of the family's 1533-position model. The record is from RNAcentral.
AUUGAACGCUGGCGGCGUGCCUAACACAUGCAAGUCGAGCGGUAACAGGUGUAGCAAUACAUGCUGACGAGCGGCGAACGGGUGAGUAAUGCUUCGGAAUCUGCCCAUGUAGUGGGGAAUAACCAGCCGAAAGGUUGGCUAAUACCGCAUACGACCUACGGGUGAAAGCAGGGGAUCGCAAGACCUUGCGCUAUUGGAUGAGCCGAAGUCGGAUUAGCUGUUGGUAGGGUAACGGCCUACCAAGGCGACGAUCCGUAGCUGGUCUGAGAGGACGACCAGCCACACUGGGACUGAGACACGGCCCAGACUCCUACGGGAGGCAGCAGUGGGGAAUAUUGGACAAUGGGGGCAACCCUGAUCCAGCGACGCCGCGUGCGUGAAGAAGGCCUGCGGGUUGUAAAGCACUUUUUAGUGGGGAUGGGAAAGCACAUGGCUAAUAUCCGUGUGUCUUGACCUAACCC